This 253-nucleotide ribosomal RNA is filed under the name uncultured bacterium. Its description in RNAcentral is "partial 16S ribosomal RNA". It matches the Rfam family "Bacterial small subunit ribosomal RNA", at positions 524 to 776 of the family's 1533-position model. The record is from RNAcentral.
UACGGAGGGUGCAAGCGUUAUCCGGAUUCACUGGGUUUAAAGGGUGCGUAGGUGGCUAUAUAAGUCAGUGGUGAAAGCCCGCGGCUCAACCGUGGAAUUGCCAUUGAAACUGCAUAGCUUGAGUACAGUUGAAGUGGGCGGAAUACAUCAUGUAGCGGUGAAAUGCUUAGAUAUGAUGUAGAACACCGAUUGCGAAGGCAGCUCACUAAGCUGUAACUGACACUGAGGCACGAAAGCGUGGGGAGCAAACAGG